Non-coding RNA from Heterocephalus glaber (naked mole-rat), 686 nucleotides. Lineage: Eukaryota; Metazoa; Chordata; Mammalia; Rodentia; Bathyergidae. The record is from RefSeq and is a predicted model, not a curated record.
UCACACUACUGGAGCCCCCUCUUUUUAACAGAUGAAACGGAGGCACACAGAGGCUUGGGGCCUUAUCGCAGGUCACACGUCACGUCAGUGGAGCUGGGCUGGGGCAGGUGGCACCUGCAGGUAAAUUUCUAUGUGGUCUGCAAGCCCCGCAGGGACAUGGGUUUUAACCUAUAAGGAUAAUGCAGGUCAGCCAUGGAAAGUGACCGAGGGAAGAUGAGAGCCAGGAUGCAGAGUGCAGUGUGGAUUGGAGGGACGGAGACCAGAGUCUGGGUCUGGACUCGGCAGCAGGAGCUUGAUGAGUGGAAAUGCUUUCUGUGGGUGCUCCCACCAGCUGAGCUUUGGCAGGAAGACUCAGAGAAAACCUGUAAGGAAAAAAAAAAGUUCCUGCAAGAUGGAGGUCAAACUGGUUCCAGCAUGCUUCUGCUCCCAGGUGGCCUAGAGGUGGAAGCUAUUCGGAUGAAAACACUGUUCCACACUAAAUUCUCUCAGCUUGAAGUUACCCAAUUCCACAGGCAAGAGAAGCCUGACUCUUCACAGGCUGCACACUCCCUUUAAUUUGAGCAAGUGACCUAAGUUUUGCCUAUUCAUUGAUAUUUUGCCAAAUUCUAGUAUUUUAAGGAGUAUGACCUGAAACCAGACAAGUUGGCACAUGCAUGUAAUCUUAGCACUCAGGAGGCUGAGGCAAG